Molecule: long non-coding RNA, 272 nt
Filed under: Homo sapiens (human)
Lineage: Eukaryota; Metazoa; Chordata; Mammalia; Primates; Hominidae
Description: non-protein coding lnc-DAO-5:1
Source: RNAcentral
GGUCUUCUAAAUUGCUUUGGCCAAUAGGAUGCAACAGAAAUAACUAUCCUGGCAUUUCUAGGCUUAGGCCUCAAGAGAUCUUGAACAUUUUCACUUGCUCUCCUGGAACCCUGAUGCUGCCACGUGAACAAGCCCAGGCAACCUUACUGGAAGAAGAGAAGCAUCAACUCCAACACAUGAGUGAGGUUAUCCUAGACCAGCCAAACCCCAUCAACCACAAACAUGAGUAAGCCCUGCAGAGACCCACCGAGCCCAAUCCGGAUCAACCAAAC